This 380-nucleotide unclassified non-coding RNA is filed under the name uncultured Pseudomonadota bacterium. RNAcentral describes it as "uncultured proteobacterium contains 16S-23S intergenic spacer region". The record is from RNAcentral. Lineage: Bacteria; Pseudomonadati; Pseudomonadota.
UCUCGGCUUAUCACCGGCAGUCCCCCUAGAGUGCCCAACCGAAUGAUGGCAAUUAACGACAAGGGUUGCGCUCGUUGCGGGACUUAACCCAACAUCUCACGACACGAGCUGACGACAGCCAUGCAGCACCUGUGUCUAGGUUCCCUUUCGGGCACACUCACAUCUCUGCGAGCUUCCUAGCGUGUCAAGGGUAGGUAAGGUUUUUCGCGUUGCAUCGAAUUAAUCCACAUAAUCCACCGCUUGUGCGGAUCCCCGUCAGUUCCUUUGAGUUUUAGCCUUGCGGCCGUACUCCCCAGGCGGAGUGCUUAACGCGUUAGCUACGACGCCUCCGGGGUCAAUACCAGAAACAUCUAGCACUCAUCGUUUACGGCGUGGACUAC